CUGAUCACUUUAUUAUAAAGUAUUUAGUGCAUAGUCUCUGUGCUUAUACUAUUAUUCCUAAGCCUGAAGAUACACUCAUCUAUGGUCUUCUCCUCCUGUUUUUUUAGAUACCAGCAAUUUCUGUUCUAAGCUUACCAAUUGUUACAUACAUGAACUGGAGGCAUGGCUGGCUGAUUCCUUCUAGCUCUGUCAGGUUGACUGGGCAGCUACAGCAGUCCUGCUCUGAGCUGCAGGUCAGGUUCAGGUGAUGACAUUGUUGGAAAGUAGACCAGAGCUGGAAUCCCCUAGCUCUAACCAUUAUCAUUUAUGGAAGUCCAGUCAUCAAUGCCAAGGGCACCCUGAAGCAAAGAAGACUUCAAACCACCUGAGCCUAUACCCUGCAGGAUAGUAGUCACUCUUUACAGGUUUCUCAAGGCUUUAUCCAUAAGAAAGGUGAGUCUCCCCCAAGGGGAACCUGUGUACAUUUGUUAUAUGAUAUUUUUUCCAUCUCAUUAAGUUGUGGUAGAAUUACCUGACCAGCAGCCUGUUCCAAUAGGCCUUCAGUGACUAUAUUUGAUAACAGUAAUAUAAUGACUAAAAUAUCACCAGAAAUGUGUCACUAAAGAUCUUUUAGCCUAUUAUAUUCUUUUUUUUCUACUUUUAACUUUCCAUUCAGUAUAGCCAACCAAAUAGUAGAGACAGCAGUAGCAAUUUCUUAUUUCUCAUGUAGCUGCGAUUGUUCUUUUCUCAUAAACCUCAAGCUCUACAACCCAGGAAACAUUAUAUCCAGUUGUUCUACUCUGUGUCAUCAAAUGUCCGUAAGUCUUAAUUUUCAAGGGGCUUUAUUUACAAUGCCUGUCUUUGUUAAUGAUUAGCCAAAGCCGUGGUUGGCAAAUUAACAACAAAUCGAAACAUUUCAUCUCUCACUCUUGAACCAAUAUUUUCAGAUUUGCCAUGUGAUGUGAUUUAGGUCAGAGCUAUCAAUUGAGAUAUUGUAUUCACUAGGUUUUAGUUCAAUUCAACUCUGCAAAUCUUUUGAAUGCCUGCUAUUUGCAAGGCACCAUGCCAGAUGAUGGGAGAGAUAUGGAGAGGAGUAUAGCACUGGAAGGAAGCCUAGUAGGACAGAUAAGACAUGAACCUAGUAACUGCAACAUAAGGUAGAACAUAACUGCCAAAAGAAAAAGUUACAAAUAUCGUGCUAUGAGAUUUAAGAGGAAAGAUCUAUUACAUCCAGUUGGAAAGACUGGGAGAUGGUGUUAAAGUUGGUCCCUGACAGCUAAGUAUAAAUUUGAGAGUUCAGGGUAAUGGGGAGAGUAUUCAAGAUGAGAGGCCCACAGAAGCGAGAGUGGGGAAGUGAGAAAGUAAGGGGUGGAAUCAGAAUCAGCAAAGUGCUCUUGUUUGGCAGGAGCACAGGACAUUGAGACAGGAUUGUGGGUGAAAAGGCUGGAAAGGUAGGACAUUUGAAGAUGCUGAAAAUCUGCCUUAAAAUAUUAAAAAUAUUGAGGGUGGAAAGCCUUCCAGUCUUGAAGUCAUAAGUCUAUCCUCUGGGAUAGACACUGGAAUUUGCCUUUGGGGCCAAAAUGCUAAAUCAGGUUUUAUAAACAUCUCUUCAGUGGGCCUUUUAAUUGUGUAGGUAUACGGGCAAGUAAGUGCCCACUGUUUUUCUUAAAGAAGGCCAAAAUGCAAUGAAGUAACCCAAAUGCAAAUGCUUUGAACAGUCUAUUUAGUAAUGUAAAUUG
Long non-coding RNA from Ursus thibetanus thibetanus, 1718 nucleotides. The record is from Ensembl. NCBI's taxonomy places the organism in Eukaryota, Metazoa, Chordata, Mammalia, Carnivora, Ursidae.